Molecule: ribosomal RNA, 542 nt
Filed under: uncultured bacterium
Lineage: Bacteria
Description: bacterial SSU rRNA
Rfam family: Bacterial small subunit ribosomal RNA
Source: RNAcentral
UGACGCAUAUUGGUCAAUGGGCGAKAGCCUGAACCAKCCAUCCCGCGUGCAGGAUGACGGCCCUACGGGUUGUAAACUGCUUUUAUGUACCAAGAAUGUGUUSUACGUGUAGGAUUUUGACGGUAGUACAUGAAUAAGCAUCGGCUAACUCYGUGCCAGCAGCCGCGGUAAUACGGAGGAUGCAAGCGUUAUCCGGAUUCAUUGGGUUUAAAGGGUGCGUAGGCGGCUAUAUAAGUCAGUGGUGAAAUGCUGCAGCUCAACUGUAGAACUGCCAUUGAAACUGUCUAGCUUGAGUGCGCCUGAGGUAGGCGGAAUGAGUAGUGUAGCGGUGAAAUGCUUAGAUAUUACUCAGAACACCGAUUGCGAAGGCAGCUUACUAAAGCGUAACUGACGCUGAUGCACGAAAGCGUGGGGAGCGAACAGGAUUAGAUACCCUGGUAGUCCACGCCGUAAACGAUGAUAACUCGCUGUUGGCGAUACACAGUCAGCGGCUAAGCGAAAGCAUUAAGUUAUCCACCUGGGGAGUACGAUCGCAAGGUUGA